GUGGUGCAUGGUUGUCGUCAGCUCGUGUCGUGAGAUGUUGGGUUAAGUCCCGCAACGAGCGCAACCCUUAAGCUUAGUUGCCAUCAUUAAGUUGGGCACUCUAAGUUGACUGCCGGUGACAAACCGGAGGAAGGUGGGGAUGACGUCAAAUCAUCAUGCCCCUUAUGAUUUGGGCUACACACGUGCUACAAUGGACAAUACAAAGGGCAGCGAAACCGCGAGGUCAAGCAAAUCCCAUAAAGUUGUUCUCAGUUCGGAUUGUAGUCUGCAACUCGACUACAUGAAGCUGGAAUCGCUAGUAAUCGUAGAUCAGCAUGCUACGGUGAAUACGUUCCCGGGUCUUGUACACACCGCCCGUCACACCACGAGAGUUUGUAACACCCGAAGCCGGUGGAGUAACCUUUUAGGAGCUAGCCGUCGAAGGUGGGACAAAUGAUUGGGGUGAAGUCGUAA
This 453-nucleotide ribosomal RNA is filed under the name Staphylococcus aureus. RNAcentral's name for it is "bacterial SSU rRNA". It matches the Rfam family "Bacterial small subunit ribosomal RNA", at positions 1038 to 1491 of the family's 1533-position model. Lineage: Bacteria; Bacillati; Bacillota; Bacilli; Caryophanales; Staphylococcaceae. The record is from RNAcentral.